GUAGGAGGAAGCUCACUGCAGAGGUCACAAGCUGAGUGUUAUUCACUCUCUCUAGAACCUUGGGGAAGGUCUGAGACAGGAGCCAAUCACUGUCCUUGCAGGGCAUCACCUGAUCCAGGUGAGUGAGUACACAGAAACAUUGGGCUUGAGUGGUGUGUCUUCAUAAAAGAAGUCAGUCAGUUCUGUAAAGUAGUUCUCCUGAUGGAUAUGACAUCACUGGCUUGGAAAUGCUUAUGGCUGGCAACAGAGUUCAAUGUGAGCUGGAGCUGAUUUCCAGAACCCAAUUCAGACUACUCUCCUCCCAC
Molecule: ribozyme, 305 nt
Organism: Ictalurus punctatus (channel catfish)
Lineage: Eukaryota; Metazoa; Chordata; Actinopteri; Siluriformes; Ictaluridae
Rfam family: Nuclear RNase P
About the family: Ribonuclease P (RNase P) is a ubiquitous endoribonuclease, found in archaea, bacteria and eukarya as well as chloroplasts and mitochondria. Its best characterised activity is the generation of mature 5'-ends of tRNAs by cleaving the 5'-leader elements of precursor-tRNAs. Cellular RNase Ps are ribonucleoproteins.
Source: Ensembl